RNAcentral lists this ribosomal RNA (258 nucleotides) under Escherichia coli. Its description in RNAcentral is "partial 16S ribosomal RNA". It matches the Rfam family "Bacterial small subunit ribosomal RNA", at positions 1 to 255 of the family's 1533-position model. Lineage: Bacteria; Pseudomonadati; Pseudomonadota; Gammaproteobacteria; Enterobacterales; Enterobacteriaceae. RNAcentral also lists the same sequence under 3 other names. The record is from RNAcentral.
AAAUUGAAGAGUUUGAUCAUGGCUCAGAUUGAACGCUGGCGGCAGGCCUAACACAUGCAAGUCGAACGGUAACAGGAAGCAGCUUGCUGCUUCGCUGACGAGUGGCGGACGGGUGAGUAAUGUCUGGGAAACUGCCUGAUGGAGGGGGAUAACUACUGGAAACGGUAGCUAAUACCGCAUAACGUCGCAAGACCAAAGAGGGGGACCUUCGGGCCUCUUGCCAUCGGAUGUGCCCAGAUGGGAUUAGCUAGUAGGUGG